RNAcentral lists this long non-coding RNA (428 nucleotides) under Falco tinnunculus (common kestrel). Its description in RNAcentral is "lncRNA (ENSFTIG00000003687.1)". Lineage: Eukaryota; Metazoa; Chordata; Aves; Falconiformes; Falconidae. The record is from RNAcentral.
AUGAUGCUUUGCAUCACAGUGUGACAGCCAAGCUCUUCUGAGUUGAUGUUGUGGAGUUCAAGGGUCAUCUUUGUCUAACUUCCAUAGAAAACAGGGCAGGAAUGACUCCUCACACACUCUUAUGCACGCUCAGAAAUAAGAAUGGGAAGCUGGAGCUGGAUUUUUAUAUGAAUAAGCAUGAUAUUUGGAUAGCAAACUUCCUUGCAGAUGAUGGAGAGAGCCCCAGAAGAAGGGUUCUGCACUCUCAGGAGGUGGUUCCAGAGUUUCCUGGCCCAGAAAUGUACUCAUUACAGCUCUUUGAUACACUGAAAAUGGGUGAUCUGGAAGAGGAAGCAGGACAGAUUACAGACGGAAGACAGUUCUUUGUCAAGCCAGAGAGAUGGACUGUGGGAUUCAUGAGUACCUUCAGACUGACCUGGUUCAACUGA